RNAcentral lists this ribosomal RNA (641 nucleotides) under uncultured marine eukaryote. RNAcentral describes it as "SSU rRNA". It matches the Rfam family "Eukaryotic small subunit ribosomal RNA", at positions 617 to 1262 of the family's 1831-position model. The record is from RNAcentral.
GGUUAAAAAGCUCGUAGUUGGAUUUCUGUUGAGGGCGACCGGUACAGCCUUUGGUUGUCAUCUGGUUCGGUCUUGGCAUCCUCUUGGGGAACGUUUUCGUGCUUGAUUGCAUGGGGCGGAAUUCAAGACUUUUACUUUGAGGAAAUUAGAGUGUUCACGGCAAGCAAGUGCUUUGAAUACAUUAGCAUGGAAUAAUAAUAUAGGACCUUUGUUCUAUUUUGUUGGUUUCUAGAACUAAGGUAAUGAUUAAUAGGGACAAUUGGGGGCAUUCGUAUUAACACGUCAGAGGUGGAAUUCUAGGAUUGUGUUACGACGAACUACUGCGAAAGCAUUUGCCAAGGAUGUUUUCAUUGAUCAAGAACGAAAGUAUGGGGAUCGAAGACGAUUAGAUACCGUCGUAGUCUAUACCAUAAACUAUGCCAACUAGAGAUUCGGCGUCGUUCCACAAAUGACUCGCUGAGCAUCUUAUGAGAAAUCAAAGUUUUUGGGUUCCGGGGGGAGUAUGGUCGCAAGGCUGAAACUUAAAGGAAUUGACGGAAGGGCACCACCAGGAGUGGAGCCUGCGGCUUAAUUUGACUCAACACGGGAAAACUUACCAGGUCCAGACAUAAGUAAGGAUUGACAGAUUGAUAGCUCUUUCU